RNAcentral lists this ribosomal RNA (253 nucleotides) under uncultured bacterium. Its description in RNAcentral is "partial 16S ribosomal RNA". It matches the Rfam family "Bacterial small subunit ribosomal RNA", at positions 524 to 776 of the family's 1533-position model. The record is from RNAcentral.
UACGGAGGCUCCAAGCGUUAUCCGGAAUCACUGGGCGUAAAGCGUCUGUAGGUGGUUUAAUAAGUCAACUGUUAAAUCUUGAGGCUCAACCUCAAAAUCGCAGUCGAAACUAUUAGGCUAGAGUAUAGUAGGGGUAAAGGGAAUUUCCAGUGGAGCGGUGAAAUGCGUAGAGAUUGGAAAGAACACCGAUGGCGAAGGCAGCCCCCUGGGUCGACACUGACGCUCAGGCACGAAAGCGUGGGGAGCAAACAGG